AACGAACGCUGGCGGCAUGCCUAACACAUGCAAGUCGAACGAGACCUUCGGGUCUAGUGGCGCACGGGUGCGUAACGCGUGGGAACCUGCCCUUAGGUUCGGAAUAACUCCCCGAAAGGGGUGCUAAUACCGGAUAAUGUCUUCGGACCAAAGAUUUAUCGCCUUUGGAUGGGCCCGCGUUGGAUUAGCUAGUUGGUAGGGUAAAAGCCUACCAAGGCGACGAUCCAUAGCUGGUCUGAGAGGAUGAUCAGCCACACUGGGACUGAGACACGGCCCAGACUCCUACGGGAGGCAGCAGUGGGGAAUAUUGGACAAUGGGCGAAAGCCUGAUCCAGCAAUGCCGCGUGAGUGAUGAAGGCCUUAGGGUUGUAAAGCUCUUUUACCCGAUGAUAAUGACAGUACCGGGAGAAUAAGCUCCGGCUAACUCCGUG
RNAcentral lists this ribosomal RNA (431 nucleotides) under uncultured bacterium. RNAcentral describes it as "partial 16S ribosomal RNA". It matches the Rfam family "Bacterial small subunit ribosomal RNA", at positions 29 to 507 of the family's 1533-position model. The record is from RNAcentral.